RNAcentral lists this ribosomal RNA (423 nucleotides) under uncultured Methanomicrobiales archaeon. RNAcentral's name for it is "bacterial SSU rRNA". It matches the Rfam family "Archaeal small subunit ribosomal RNA", at positions 320 to 747 of the family's 1478-position model. The record is from RNAcentral. Lineage: Archaea; Methanobacteriati; Methanobacteriota; Methanomicrobia; Methanomicrobiales.
GCCCUACGGGGGGCUGCAGGCGCGAAAACUUUACAAUGCGGGAAACCGUGAUAAGGGAACUCCGAGUGUCCGUAAAUUCGGACUGUCCGUAUGUUUAAAAAGCAUACGAAGAAAGGGCCGGGCAAGACCGGUGCCAGCCGCCGCGGUAAUACCGGCGGCUCGAGUGGUGGCCACUAUUACUGGGCUUAAAGCGUUCGUAGCUUGGUUGUUAAGUCUCUUGGGAAAUCUAUCGGCUUAACCGAUAGGCGUCCAGGGGAUACUGGCAAUCUAGGGACCGGGAGAGGUGAGGGGUACUUCAGGGGUAGGAGUGAAAUCCUGUAAUCCUUGGGGGACCACCUGUGGCGAAGGCGCCUCACCAGAACGGCUCCGACAGUGAGGGACGAAAGCUGGGGGAGCAAACCGGAUUAGAUACCCCUGUAGUCG